Molecule: ribosomal RNA, 164 nt
Filed under: Vicia malosana
Lineage: Eukaryota; Viridiplantae; Streptophyta; Magnoliopsida; Fabales; Fabaceae
Also listed under: 1 other name
Description: 5.8S ribosomal RNA
Rfam family: 5.8S ribosomal RNA (bases 1-139)
About the family: 5.8S ribosomal RNA (5.8S rRNA) is a component of the large subunit of the eukaryotic ribosome. It is transcribed by RNA polymerase I as part of the 45S precursor that also contains 18S and 28S rRNA.
Source: RNAcentral
AUCUAGGCUCUUGCAUCGAUGAAGAACGUAGCGAAAUGCGAUACUUGGUGUGAAUUGCAGAAUCCCGUGAACCAUCGAGUUUUUGAACGCAAGUUGCGCCCGAUACCAUUAGGUUGAGGGCACGUCUGCCUGGGUGUCACAUAUCGAAGCCUCCUGCCAAUUUC